RNAcentral lists this long non-coding RNA (563 nucleotides) under Cyanistes caeruleus (blue tit). RNAcentral describes it as "lncRNA (ENSCCEG00000006136.1)". Lineage: Eukaryota; Metazoa; Chordata; Aves; Passeriformes; Paridae. The record is from RNAcentral.
AAAAGUCUGGACUUGAAAGUCCUUGUGAGAAUAAUUGUCCCAUCUACUGGCUGGCUGGCAGAGGUUGUGAUCAACAGCUGUCAUAUUGAUUAAAGAGGAGAGACAAAGGUGUUUGCUUGGGCCGCAUGGUGCCCUGGGGAGUUGCCCCCAGCAGUGACCAUCCCAUCACCCAGUGAGUGUGUUCCAGAAAGCCCAGUGAGAACUGGAGGAGACCUGGAACCAAACCAGUGCAUUCUUGUGAUUAUUCUCCUGGCCAUCCUGAAAAAGCUUGGGAGUGAUGGCUUAUGAGGGAUUUUGAAGAAGAGAAAGGAAGAGGUCAGCUAAACCUGAAUGGAAGUGGGAUGUGCAGAAGGAAGGCUGAAAGAAUGGCUGUAACAAGCAACAAAAAAUGGCCCAGUUUUGUAGGCAAAUGGGAUCAAAGAAGCCCUACUUUACUCCUGCUGCAGUUGGAGCACAGUUGUGAACAGCAACGCUACUGGUACCAUGGCAAUGACCAAAAUGAUUUGGGUAUAAAUUUUCAUGCUGGCAUGUGUAGGAGGGAAUGUUUUGUAAAUAUGAGGUGA